Molecule: ribosomal RNA, 1350 nt
Filed under: uncultured marine eukaryote
Lineage: Eukaryota
Description: SSU rRNA
Rfam family: Eukaryotic small subunit ribosomal RNA
Source: RNAcentral
CACUUCUAAGGAAGGCAGCAGGCGCGCAAAUUACCCAAUCCUGACUCAGGGAGGUAGUGACAAGAAAUAACAAUAAACCGGCUUAUGCCGGUUUAAUUGGAAUGAGUACAAUUUAAACAUCUUAACGAGGAACAAUUGGAGGGCAAGUCUGGUGCCAGCAGCCGCGGUAAUUCCAGCUCCAAUAGCGUAUACUAAAGUUGUUGCAGUUAAAAAGCUCGUAGUUGGAUUUCUGUGGGGACGGAGCGGCCGGCCGCAACACGCGGUUCGAGCUAGCGCUUUCCCUACAUCCUGCCGCGAACCGUGCUACCAUUAAUUUGGUGGCGCCGGGGAUCGGCUCGAUUACUUUGAGAAAAAUAGAGUGUUCAAAGCAGGCCACAUGCCUUGAAUAAGUUAGCAUGGAAUAAUAACUAAGGACUUCGGUUCUAUUUUGUUGGUGUUCGGGACUGAAGUAAUGAUUGAUAGGGACAGUUGGGGCGGUCUGUAUUCCAAAGCGAGAGGUGAAAUUCUUAGACCUUCGGAAGACAAACAGCUGCGAAAGCGUUCCGCAAGGAUGUUCCCUUUGAUCAAGAACGAAAGUUGGGGGAUCGAAGACGAUCAGAUACCGUCGUAGUCUCAACUAUAAACUAUACCAGCUAGGGAUCGGCCAACGUUAUUUAAACCGACUUGGUCGGCACCUUAUGAGAAAUCAAAGCAUCUGGGUUCCGGGGGGAGUAUGGUCGCAAGGCUGAAACUUAAAGGAAUUGACGGAAGGGCACCACCAGCCGUGGAGCCUGUGGCUUAAUUUGACUCAACACGGGAAAACUUACCAGGUCCAGACAUAGUAAGGAUUGACAGAUUGAUAGCUCUUUCUUGAUUCUGUGGGUGGUGGUGCAUGGCCGUUCUUAGUUGGUGGAGUGAUUUGUCUGGUUAAUUCCGUUAACGAACGAGACCCCAGCCUGCUAAAUAGCGCGCGUGAGCUUUGCUCGCGGCGAGCUUCUUAGAGGGACUAUGAUGCGCGAUAGCACAUGGAAGUUUGGGGCAAUAACAGGUCUGUGAUGCCCUUAGAUGUUCUGGGCCGCACACGGGCUACACUGGCGCCUGCAACGAGCAUAUCAGCUGGCCCGAGAGGGUCUUGGCUAAUCUUUUGAACCGGCGCCGUGCUUGGGAUUGACCUUUGCAAUUGUUGGUCAUGCAACGAGGAAUGCCUUGUAAACGCGAGUCAUCAGCUCGCAUUGAAUACGUCCCUGCCCUUUGUACACACCGCCCGUCGCUCCUACCGAUGAAUGUUCCGAUGAAAUUUUCGGAGAGCACCUGUGAACUUGGCUCUGCCUUGCGAACGGGAGGCUCAAAGUCACUUAAAUCUGAACAUUU